UAAGCGGAGGAAAAGAAACUAACAAGGAUUCCCCUAGUAGCGGCGAGCGAAGCGGGAAGAGCUCAAAUUUAUAAUCUGGCACCUUCGGUGUCCGAGUUGUAAUCUCUAGAAGUGUUUUCCGCGUUGGACCGCACACAAGUCUGUUGGAAUACAGCGGCAUAGUGGUGAAACCCCCGUAUAUGGUGCGGACGCCCAGCGCUUUGUGAUACACUUUCAAUGAGUCGAGUUGUUUGGGAAUGCAGCUCAAAUUGGGUGGUAAAUUCCAUCUAAAGCUAAAUAUUGGCGAGAGACCGAUAGCGAACAAGUACCGUGAGGGAAAGAUGAAAAGCACUUUGGAAAGAGAGUUAACAGUACGUGAAAUUGUUGGAAGGGAAACGCUUGAAGUCAGACUUGCUUGCCGGAGCUUGCUUCGGUUUGCAGGCCAGCAUCAGUUUUCCGGGGUGGAUAAUGACGGUUUGAAGGUAGCAGUCUCGGCUGUGUUAUAGCUUUCCGUUGGAUACAUCCUGGGGGACUGAGGAACGCAGCGUGCUUUUUGCGAAAGACUCGUCUUUUUCACGCUUAGGAUGCUGGUGGAAUGGCUUUAAACGAC
Molecule: ribosomal RNA, 589 nt
Filed under: Rhodotorula graminis
Lineage: Eukaryota; Fungi; Basidiomycota; Microbotryomycetes; Sporidiobolales; Sporidiobolaceae
Description: eukaryotic LSU rRNA
Rfam family: Eukaryotic large subunit ribosomal RNA
Source: RNAcentral